CCCUUCUCAGGACUGAGCCUGGAGAGUUUCCAGUACUCUACCAGUCUCGGCUACGAGAGGGAGAGUCAAGCAGAGGCCUACCCCUUCCAUUUCUAGUUUGGCCCAUGGCUAGCAAGUGGAAGGCAGUCUGUUACAAGU
Small nucleolar RNA from Ornithorhynchus anatinus (platypus), 138 nucleotides. The record is from RefSeq and is a predicted model, not a curated record. Lineage: Eukaryota; Metazoa; Chordata; Mammalia; Monotremata; Ornithorhynchidae.